This 290-nucleotide small RNA is filed under the name Bacillus sp. FJAT-27231. RNAcentral's name for it is "5' ureB small RNA". It matches the Rfam family "5' ureB small RNA". The record is from Rfam by way of RNAcentral. Lineage: Bacteria; Bacillati; Bacillota; Bacilli; Caryophanales; Bacillaceae.
CUGUUCUAAUCUGUGUCGGAUUAAUAAAAUGAACAUGGGUAUCGAUUCCGCCAGCUGUCACAAUCAUUCCUUCACCAGCAAUGAUUUCUGUGCUGGCGCCAAUUACGAUAUCUACGUUAUCCAUAAUCAAUGGGUUACCAGCUUUUCCGAUGCCAGCAAUUUUUCCAUCACGAAUCCCGAUAUCUGCUUUGUAGAUACCAGUGUAGUCUAGAAUGACCGCAUUCGUAAUCACGACAUCUGCGAUCCCGUCUCCUCUCGUGACAAGAGGGUUUUGUCCCAUUCCGUCACGG